GAAGAAAGAAGACCUACUUUUCGCCAGUUUUCUCGCCCUCGCCUUGGAUCUCAUCUUGUCGGCUUGUAGAUUCCUCUCGUCGUCCUCCGUGAGCCCAGAAGCUGCAACAACACUAUCUUCAUCUCACCAGCAUUAUCACUUAUCUCUUCCCCUCCUCCUCCUCUUCCUCCUCCUCCUGCUCUCCCCUCACCAGUUCACCUUCCCCCCCCCCCCCCCCCCCCCCCUUCGCCAUCCCAUUACUCUCGUCCCCCUCCUCCCCCCUUCAACCCCCCCAACUAGCCCAUUCAGCUCCUGCCAGCACCCUCUUGGAUAUACCCCUUUAAGUGCGACAACUUCGCUUUCUCCGAGAAGCGGUGGACACAGGGAGGUACGGUAGGGUCAAGUUCAUUUCAUAAAAAUGGAACAGCAACUAAAUUAUUGUUAUUUUUAUUAUCAAUAGGCCUAUAGUCUUUUGAAAAUAUAUUUUAUUUCAUAUUGUAAUUUUAUUACAUGUUUUUUGAAACCCAUGAAAAGCUAACACAAUUAUUAUUGUUCCGUUUACAGAAACUCAUUGCGUUAUAUUUACCUCAUUAAAUGCAGGCAUAGAUGGUAAGACUCGAUUUGAGUUGGACUUUACAGCCUAUGAUUUGUGCAUGUGUGUGUGUGUGUGUGUGUGUGUGCAUGUGUGUGUGUGUGUGUGUGUGUGUGUGUGUGUGUGUGUGUGUGUGUGUGUGUGUGUGUGUGUGUGUGUGUGUGUGUCUGUGUGUGUGUGUGUGUGUGUGUGUGUGUGUCUGUGUAAACCGUGUUGCCCUCAGGACAAGCAGCGGCCAGCAGCUGUUUGACGCAUGCACGGAGCCUCCACCGGCAGAGUCCGUACUGGGGAGAAGUCCAGGCUUUUCUUUUCUUUCCUUUCUUUCUUUCAACCAAUGUUCCAUUUAUGUUCGCUGCAGGAGCUGCUGUAACCGCCUAACGCUGAGCCCAGAUCACCUGAAGGGAAGGCGAACAGACUUUCUUUUUGUAGGUGUGACUUUCACUUUGCACCUGUUUGUUCGUUUGUUUGUUUGUUUGCUGCAGGAGGUGAUGGUCUCCAUCCAUACGUCCAGCUGUGUGGUGUAGCCCGGAUAAUUACAGGUAAUAUGUAUUUUUAACUGUCUUAUUUAUAUACAUGUUUUAUUAUAGAAACAGAAAUCGGACACGUAAAUAAUUCCACAGCAUAUUUUGUUUUCAUACUGCUUGCUAUAAAAAAAAGACAGUUUAAGAAAGUCAAUUUACAGAACUUAAUUCGUUAACUUUUAAAUAGCCUACAGUUCCAGUUAAUGUGAUUUCAACUUUUUAAAUUGUGCAUAAUUGUAUCAUUAUUAUUUGUAUUAUUAUCAUUAUAUUAAUUAUUGCUAUCACGUGUAAUAAUUCUGUUUCGUUUUAUUGAAAGCCUAACCGACAUUAGAAACAAAUAAAGAAGGAUGGAUAAAAGCUUA
Molecule: long non-coding RNA, 1454 nt
Organism: Labrus mixtus (cuckoo wrasse)
Lineage: Eukaryota; Metazoa; Chordata; Actinopteri; Labriformes; Labridae
Exons: 2
Source: RefSeq, a predicted model, not a curated record